CUACGGGGGGCUGCAGUGGGGAAUAUUGGACAAUGGGGGCAACCCUAAUCCAGCCAUGCCGCGUGUGUGAAGAAGGCCCUCGGGUUGUAAAGCACUUUCAGUGAGGAAGAACGCCUGGUGGUUAAUACCCAUCAGGAAAGACAUCACUCACAGAAGAAGCACCGGCUAACUCCGUGCCAGCAGCCGCGGUAAUACGGAGGGUGCGAGCGUUAAUCGGAAUUACUGGGCGUAAAGCGCGCGUAGGUGGCUUGAUAAGCCGGUUGUGAAAGCCCCGGGCUCAACCUGGGAACGGCAUCCGGAACUGUCAAGCUAGAGUGCAGGAGAGGAAGGUAGAAUUCCCGGUGUAGCGGUGAAAUGCGUAGAGAUCGGGAGGAAUACCAGUGGCGAAGGCGGCCUUCUGGACUGACACUGACACUGAGGUGCGAAAGCGUGGGUAGCAAACAGGAUUAGAUACCCUUGUAGUC
This 464-nucleotide ribosomal RNA is filed under the name Vreelandella stevensii. RNAcentral's name for it is "partial 16S ribosomal RNA". It matches the Rfam family "Bacterial small subunit ribosomal RNA", at positions 339 to 795 of the family's 1533-position model. Lineage: Bacteria; Pseudomonadati; Pseudomonadota; Gammaproteobacteria; Oceanospirillales; Halomonadaceae. The record is from RNAcentral.